Molecule: ribosomal RNA, 1327 nt
Filed under: Nocardia otitidiscaviarum
Lineage: Bacteria; Bacillati; Actinomycetota; Actinomycetes; Mycobacteriales; Nocardiaceae
Description: bacterial SSU rRNA
Rfam family: Bacterial small subunit ribosomal RNA
Source: RNAcentral
ACACGAGCGGCGAACGGGUGAGUAACACGUGGGUGAUCUGCCUCGCACUCUGGGAUAAGCCUGGGAAACUGGGUCUAAUACCGGAUAUGACCACGAAUCGCAUGGUUUGUGGUGGAAAGGUUUACUGGUGCGAGAUGGGCCCGCGGCCUAUCAGCUUGUUGGUGGGGUAACGGCCUACCAAGGCGACGACGGGUAGCCGGCCUGAGAGGGCGACCGGCCACACUGGGACUGAGACACGGCCCAGACUCCUACGGGAGGCAGCAGUGGGGAAUAUUGCACAAUGGGCGAAAGCCUGAUGCAGCGACGCCGCGUGAGGGAUGACGGCCUUCGGGUUGUAAACCUCUUUCGACAGGGACGAAGCGCAAGUGACGGUACCUGUAGAAGAAGCACCGGCCAACUACGUGCCAGCAGCCGCGGUAAUACGUAGGGUGCGAGCGUUGUCCGGAAUUACUGGGCGUAAAGAGCUUGUAGGCGGUCUGUCGCGUCGAUCGUGAAAACGUGCAGCUCAACUGCGCGCCUGCGGUCGAUACGGGCAGACUAGAGUACUUCAGGGGAGACUGGAAUUCCUGGUGUAGCGGUGAAAUGCGCAGAUAUCAGGAGGAACACCGGUGGCGAAGGCGGGUCUCUGGGAAGUAACUGACGCUGAGAAGCGAAAGCGUGGGUAGCGAACAGGAUUAGAUACCCUGGUAGUCCACGCCGUAAACGGUGGGUACUAGGUGUGGGUUUCCUUCCACGGGAUCCGUGCCGUAGCUAACGCAUUAAGUACCCCGCCUGGGGAGUACGGCCGCAAGGCUAAAACUCAAAGGAAUUGACGGGGGCCCGCACAAGCGGCGGAGCAUGUGGAUUAAUUCGAUGCAACGCGAAGAACCUUACCUGGGUUUGACAUACACCGGAAAGCCGUAGAGAUACGGCCCCCCUUGUGGUCGGUGUACAGGUGGUGCAUGGCUGUCGUCAGCUCGUGUCGUGAGAUGUUGGGUUAAGUCCCGCAACGAGCGCAACCCUUAUCUUAUGUUGCCAGCGCGUAAUGGCGGGGACUCGUGAGAGACUGCCGGGGUCAACUCGGAGGAAGGUGGGGAUGACGUCAAGUCAUCAUGCCCCUUAUGUCCAGGGCUUCACACAUGCUACAAUGGCCGGUACAGAGGGCUGCGAUACCGCGAGGUGGAGCGAAUCCCUUAAAGCCGGUCUCAGUUCGGAUCGGGGUCUGCAACUCGACCCCGUGAAGUUGGAGUCGCUAGUAAUCGCAGAUCAGCAACGCUGCGGUGAAUACGUUCCCGGGCCUUGUACACACCGCCCGUCACGUCAUGAAAGUCGGUAACACCCGAAGCCG